RNAcentral lists this ribosomal RNA (255 nucleotides) under uncultured bacterium. Its description in RNAcentral is "partial 16S ribosomal RNA". It matches the Rfam family "Bacterial small subunit ribosomal RNA", at positions 524 to 776 of the family's 1533-position model. The record is from RNAcentral.
UACGGAGGGUGCAAGCGUUAAUCGGAAUUACUGGGCGUAAAGGGUGCGUAGGCGGUUGUUUAAGUCUGUUGUGAAAUCCCCGGGCUCAACCUGGGAAUGGCAAUGGAUACUGGGCAGCUAGAGUGUGUCAGAGGAUGGUGGAAUUCCCGGUGUAGCGGUGAAAUGCGUAGAGAUGUGGAGGAACACCGAUGGCGAAGGCAGCCCCCCUGGGUCAAGAUUGACGCUCGAUGCACGAAAGCGUGGGGAGCAAACAGG